UACAGAGGUCCCAAGCGUUGUUCGGAUUCACUGGGCGUAAAGGGUGCGUAGGCGGCCAACUAAGUCAGACGUGAAAUCCCUCGGCUUAACCGGGGAACUGCAUCUGAUACUGGAUGGCUUGAGUUCGGGAGAGGGAUGCGGAAUUCCAGGUGUAGCGGUGAAAUGCGUAGAUAUCUGGAGGAACACCGGUGGCGAAGGCGGCAUCCUGGACCGACACUGACGCUGAGGAGCGAAAGCCAGGGGAGCAAACGGG
This 253-nucleotide ribosomal RNA is filed under the name uncultured bacterium. Its description in RNAcentral is "partial 16S ribosomal RNA". It matches the Rfam family "Bacterial small subunit ribosomal RNA", at positions 524 to 776 of the family's 1533-position model. The record is from RNAcentral.